UCGGGAAUAUUGCGCAAUGGAGGAAACUCUGACGCAGUGACGCCGCGUGCAGGAAGAAGGUUUUCGGAUUGUAAACUGCUUUAGACAGGGAAGAAACAAGACAGUACCUGUAGAAUAAGCUCCGGCUAACUACGUGCCAGCAGCCGCGGUAAUACGUAGGGAGCGAGCGUUAUCCGGAUUUAUUGGGUGUAAAGGGUGCGUAGACGGGAGAAUAAGUUAGUUGUGAAAUCCCUCGGCUUAACUGAGGAACUGCAACUAAAACUAUUUUUCUUGAGUACUGGAGAGGAAAGUGGAAUUCCUAGUGUAGCGGUGAAAUGCGUAGAUAUUAGGAGGAACACCAGUGGCGAAGGCGACUUUCUGGACAGAAACUGACGUUGAGGCACGAAAGUGUGGGGAGCAAACA
Molecule: ribosomal RNA, 403 nt
Filed under: uncultured bacterium
Lineage: Bacteria
Also listed under: 1 other name
Description: bacterial SSU rRNA
Rfam family: Bacterial small subunit ribosomal RNA
Source: RNAcentral